GCCUGGGUGGCUCAGUCGGUUGAGCAUCUGACUUCGGCUCAGGUCAUGAUCUUGCAGUCUGCGGUUUCAAUCCCCGCAUCAAACA
Molecule: transfer RNA, 85 nt
Filed under: Felis catus (domestic cat)
Lineage: Eukaryota; Metazoa; Chordata; Mammalia; Carnivora; Felidae
Also listed under: 2 other names
Rfam family: tRNA
About the family: Transfer RNA (tRNA) molecules are approximately 80 nucleotides in length. Their secondary structure includes four short double-helical elements and three loops (D, anti-codon, and T loops).
Source: Rfam by way of RNAcentral